Molecule: ribosomal RNA, 330 nt
Filed under: Triticum aestivum (bread wheat)
Lineage: Eukaryota; Viridiplantae; Streptophyta; Magnoliopsida; Poales; Poaceae
Description: partial small subunit ribosomal RNA
Source: RNAcentral
AUGGGUGUUCACUGGAUUUACCCGCAUGAUGGGCGACAAACAUCCACAAACCGUGCUCACAGAUCAAUGCAAGGCGAUGGAAGUAGCAAUAGAGAAAGUGAUGCCAUACACGACUCACCGUUGCUGCAAGUGGCACGUGCAAUUGGUAAUUUCAUGGGGCUAAAAGCUCCAGAACGAAAACAAAAGCCCGGUCGACCAAUCACUUGCAGGGAUAAACCUCCGUAUGAUGAUCGUGGUGCAAAAAGCAAGAAGUACAUACUGACAGCAAAUGCACAAGCUGGAAAUGGAUGCGGGACAAGUAAACGAACUCGCUUCUCCAGUAUAUGUUGA